UGAACUUAAGCCCCAGUAAACGGCGGCCGUAACUAUAACGGUCCUAAGGUAGCGAAAUUCCUUGUCGGGUAAGUUCCGACCCGCACGAAAGGCGGAACGAUUUGGGCACUGUCUCAACAACAGACUCGGUGAAAUUGUAAUUCCGGUGAAGAUGCCGGAUACCUGCGACAGGACGGAAAGACCCCAUGGAGCUUUACUGUAGCUUGACAUUGGGU
This 215-nucleotide ribosomal RNA is filed under the name Clostridioides difficile. RNAcentral describes it as "partial 23S ribosomal RNA". It matches the Rfam family "Bacterial large subunit ribosomal RNA", at positions 1908 to 2122 of the family's 2925-position model. The record is from RNAcentral. Lineage: Bacteria; Bacillati; Bacillota; Clostridia; Peptostreptococcales; Peptostreptococcaceae.